GCUGCGGGCGCGGGGAGGGGGCGCCGCGCCGCGGGGGCCAUGGCGGAGCCAGGAAGCCGGGAGUCCGAGACCCGGGUCACCAAUAUAAAUGCUUGAUGAGUGAAUGAAUGACUUCCGUCUGGGACUUGGUUGCAAAUAAAGCCGAGCUGCAUCUUAGGGAGGGGUGGAGACUUUGCCCCUGUUUGUGCCUUGAAGCCAGCAGGGCCUUGCCCUAGGAUACCUCCACCCACCCUCCUGCCCAGCAAGUGGAGGCCCGCAGCCCGAGUGUCGCCGCCAUGGCUUCGCCGCAGCUCUUCCGCGCGCUGGUGUCGGCGCAAUGGGUGGCCGAGGCGCUGCGGGCCCCGCGCGCUGGGCAGCCCCUGCAACUGCUGGACGCCUCCUGGUACCUGCCGAAGCUGGGGCGCGACGCGCGACGCGAGUUCGAGGAGCGCCACAUCCCGGGCGCCGCUUUCUUCGACAUCGACCAGUGCAGCGACCGCACCUCGCCCUACGACCACAUGCUGCCCGGGGCCGAGCAUUUCGCGGAGUACGCAGGCCGCCUGGGCGUGGGCGCGGCCACCCACGUCGUGAUCUACGACGCCAGCGACCAGGGCCUCUACUCCGCCCCGCGCGUCUGGUGGAUGUUCCGCGCCUUCGGCCACCGCGCCGUGUCACUGCUUGACGGCGGCCUCCGCCACUGGCUGCGCCAGAACCUCCCGCUCAGCUCCGGCAAGAGCCAACCUGCUCCCGCCGAGUUCCGCGCUCAGCUCGAUCCCGCCUUCAUCAAGACCUACGAGGACAUCAAGGAGAACCUGGAAUCCCGGCGCUUCCAGGUGGUGGACUCCCGAGCCACUGGCAGGUUCCGCGGCACCGAGCCCGAGCCCCGAGACGGUAACGCGGGGGAAGCGGGCAGGAGGUCGUCGGGGGCGCGGCCUCUACGCCCUGAGCAGUGCCCUGGACUUGACCUUUCUUUUAUUUUUUUAAUUUAUCUUGCUUUCAUUUCCUUUCCUUUUUUCUUUCCUUCCCUUUCCCUUCCCUCCUUUCCCCCUUUUCCCUACCCUUGCCUUCUUUUCACAGGGUCUGGCUCUACCGCCCAGGCUGGAGUGCAGUGGCACAAUCAUGGCUCACUGCAGCCUCAACCUCCUGGGCUCAGGUGACCCUCCCCGCUCAGCCUGACCUUGCCUUUAAAGGCCACUGCAUGAGGUGGGGAAGGAGAUUUGACUUCCACUUGCCUUGGUGACUUUGUUUGUUAAGCAGAACAAUAAUACUGGCCCUUCCCCUCCUGUGCUUUGGGCAGUGACUCUCCCUAGCUCAUUGGGAACUCUGGUUGGCCAAACAGCUCUCAAUCCAACACUAGAGGUGUGGGGGGUCACUGUGGAAUGUUGGGGGGCAGGCCCCAGUAUGAGAGAAAAACCCAGAGGGAUGGUCCUGAUCAGGGCUACCCAUGCCCCUGAGGAUGGUGGAAUGAAGGCAGAGUCGGGGGCUGCAUGAAAGGAAAGUCUCUCCCAGGGGCCAAAGCUUGGAGAACUGAGGGUGGAAGGGGGGUUAAACAGAAGUGGGUAGGGCAGAGCCUUCUGCCUGUGGGCUGGGUUUCCUCAGGCAAGAAGCCUGUGGGUAAGCUCUGUAUAAUGCGAGGAGGAGUCCCCACAAAGCAGGCUGGUCAGUGGUCACACUGGUGUGAGUCUUUCAAACAUCCCGUGUAAGUAGAUACUGUCAUUGCACAGAGGAGGAAAUGGAGCCUGGCCCAAGGUCUCAAGAAACAACCCAGCCGGGAUUCAGACUCGGCAGCCUGCACACUUAACAGCCGUGAGCAACCAGGAACUCCCCAGCCCUUUCUCUUGUGCCUUCAAGAGUGCAAGAAACUGACCACUGCCCCUAGAGAGCUCUCUGAAGAGCAUUCCCAUGGCUACAGAUUGGGUUUGGAGCCGCUUGGGCUCACCAUGGGCCAGCAAUGUUUUGGAUGGCCUGAGGGCAAGGACUGUCCCUGCUCUUAAUGCAUCCUGAAGAUUAGCUCAGUACCUGGCACAGAGUCGAUGUUCCAGAGAGGUUUGGUGAAUACAGAAGGUCCCUGUUGCAUGGAAUCCUGCAAAGCAAUGUUGGUGUUACCGGAACCAUAGGAAACAGCUGAUAUCCAACCAUUUUUGAACCUACACAGGUGUCAGUUUCAUGUGGUUCAUGAGAGCACCACCUUGAUCCUGUUGGGUUCUCCAUCUCAGCCCCAGGGGGAUGAGCAACAUAGGGGAGCUAGCUGGUGGUGCCAGACUGGGGUUCAGAUCCCUGCCACAUUUACAUGGGCUUCGUGACACACGACGGGUCAUCUAAUGUCUCCGAAUCGCAGCUUCUGCCUAUGUAGAAUGGGAGCAGUAACACAGAGCAUAAAGACAAGAUAGGGGCAAGGAGAGCCAGUGUGUAAAGCACUCAGCUCCGGGUUUUCAUGCACAAGUGUGCUGCACACUUGUGCCUCACACUUAUUUCAGUCGCGCUCGCUCAUCUAUAGAAUGGGAGGUGAUACACGCCUGGCAGGCUUGUUGUCAAAACAAACUAAGCUCAGUGCAGCUGGAUCAGUGAUGAAUGUCACUGUCAUCAUUCCCACUCCACAGCCUGAGGCCUGGCCAAGUGCUCCUGUGAUGUGCCACACCAGUCCAGCAGGCAGGGGAAACAUGCUUUGCUUGGUGGGAUUCAAGGUGUAGGGAUGGCCCUCCCUUUACAGUCACCACCCUGGGUUGAGAGUUUGUUCCUCCUCCUUGCUCUGGGCUGGUCUCUAUGUGAUAUCUGACCAAGCCCGGUAACUGUGUCUGUUAAGUGGGAUGCAUGACCCAUUCCAGCCUCUCCACAGACUCGGGAGUGCUGUCUCUAUGCCAGGGUCUGAGAAUAGAUACCCAUACAUGGGUCAGCAGCUCCUGUGGGGGUGUCACUCCACUGCGGAGGGAAACCAAGGCAGAAGCUGGACAAGAGUCUGAAUGGCUCAGAUUUGAAUCAUUAGUUUUUGGGGGGUUUUUUGUUUGUGUUUGUUUCUGUUGUUGUUGUUGUUAUUGUUUUGAGACGGAGUUUUGCUCUUGUUUCCCAGCUGGAGUACAGUGGUGCAGUCUCGGCUCACCACAACCUCCGCCUCCCGGGUUCAAGUGAUUCUCCUGCCUUAGCCUCCCGAGUAGCUGGGAUUACAGGCAUGUGCCACCACGCCCGGCUAAUGUUUGUAUUAUUAGUAGAGACGGGGUUUCUCCAUGUUGGUCAGGCUGGUCUCGAACUCCCAACCUCAGGUAAUCUGCCCCCCUCGACCUCCCAAAGUGCUGGGAUUACAGGCGUGAGCCACCGUGCCCAGCCCAAGCAUUAGUUGUGAAGGUUUAUUUUGUUGCAAAUCCCAGUCCUGCAUGAAAAUGGGAAUGUUAGUAACCCCUGCCUCAAGGUGGGGCAGUGAAAACAAAAAACACCCUGGGAGUCUGCAGAGGUGUGGGCCUUUCCCAUCCCAUUCUUUCUGCUACAAUCAAAAUGAUCGUUUAAAAAUGGAAAUCUAGGUUGGGCAAGGUAACUCCUACCUAUAAUCCUCACACUUUGGAAGGCUGAGGUGGGAGGAUCCCUUGAGCCCAGGAGUUCAAGACCAUCCUGGACAUGAUGGCAAGCCCCUUCUCAAUAGAAAAAUUAAAAGUAACAGUAAAAAAGUAAACACAGAAGCCUGAGUUCCCCCUGCAGUCAGGUCAAAGCCCCCAAGUCUUACUCCAGGCCUGCUAAGGCGUUCCCAUCCCCUUCAGCUUCCCCUUUGGGCCUCUGGCUCCUCACUGUCUGGGCUUUCGCGACAAUGACCUUUAACCCCUCCAGGCAACAGGUGGUUCCCUCGCCUCUCAGAUUCCCUCUGCCUGGGAUGCUCUAGGCCUCCAUCCACCCAGACCCCUUUAUGUGACUGAAUCCUACUCAUCCUUUGGGGCAUUCUCAGAGAAACUUCCUCCACCCACUGAGCCCCCAGCCAGUGUGGCAUGACAGUGGGAAGCAUAGACUUGCCUGGGUUUACUCCUCCCUGCCCUCUGCUAGCUUGCACAAGCUAGUCUUUGUACUUCAUUCUCUUCAUCUUUACAAAAGAGAGGAUAAUAAUUUCUUUCCCAGAGAAUUUCGGGGUGGAUUAAAGGAGAAACUAUAGCUGACCGUCUCCAAACAGUGCCUGGCAGAAAGUAAGCAUUCAAUAACAUCAGCUAUUGGCCAGGCAAGGUGGCUUACUCCUAUAUUCCCAGCACUUUGGGAGGCCGAGGCAGAAGGAUUACUUGAGGCCAGGAAUUCAAGACCAUCCUGAGCCACAUACUGAGACCCCAUGUCUAUAAAAACCAAAUUAGGCCAGGCGUGGUGGUUCACACCUGUAAUCCCAGCACUUUGGGAGGCCAAGGCAGGUGGAUCAUCUGAGGUCAGCAGUUCGAGACCACCCUGGCCAAUAUGGUGAAACCCCAUCUUUACUAAAAAUACAAAAAUUAGCCAGGUGUGAUGGGUGCCUGUAAUCCCAGCUACUCAGGAAGCUGAAGCAGGAGAAUCACUUGAACCCAGGAGGUGGAGGUUGCAGUAAGCCAAGAUCAUGCCACUGCACUCCAGCCUGGGCAACAAGAGCAAAACUCCAUCUCAAAAAAAAAAAAAAGAAAAAAAAACAAAUUAGCUGAGCAUGGUGGCAUGUGCCUGUAGUAGUCCCAGCCCCUCGGGGGGAAGCUGAGGCAGGAGGAUUGCUUGAGCCCAGGAGGCUGAGGCUGCAGUGAGCCUUGAUCAUGCCACCGCACUUCAGCCUGGGCAACAGAAUGAGACCCUGUCUCAGUAAUAAUAAUAUCAGCUAUUGCUAUUACUGGCAUUAUUUUUUUUUACAUGCCCCAGGCCACCCAGUAGGGCACUUUUGGAACACCCAUUAUGCUUGUAAUUAUUCAGUUGCCUGUCUGCCCUGCCAGAUUAAAGCUCCUUGCCUGCAGGUACUGCACGUUCUAGCUAGGCAGGGGUCUUGUUUAUUGCUUCGCUGUCCCUAGGGUGCAUAGUCAGGAAACCUUGGGGCCCAGUUCUUAGGUUCAAAGUUCAGUCAGCAGUUUGCUAGAUGCAUUAGCCUCAGGUGGUACUUAACCUCAGCAUCACCGUGUAUAAAAUGGGGGCUCCUCUAAACAGUGCUCAGGUUUUAUGGUUGUGAGAAUUAAAUGAGAUGGUGGAUAUAAAGGAUUUAGCACCAUGCUUGCAUGGGAUGCUCUCAAUAUCUCGAGCACCACAAAUACGAGGUACCAUUCAUAGCAUCCUUCUAUUUGUCCCCUCCUCCCUGGCUCCCCUGCUGUAGGCAUUGAACCUGGCCACAUCCCGGGUACCGUGAACAUCCCCUUCACAGACUUCCUGACCCAGGAGGGGCUGGAGAAGAGCCCUGAGGAGAUCCGCCAUCUGUUCCAGGAGAAGAAAGUGGACCUGUCUAGGCCACUGGUGGCCACGUGUGGCUCUGGCGUCACGGCCUGCCACGUGGCACUAGGGGCCUACCUCUGCGGCAAGCCAGACGUGCCCAUCUACGAUGGCUCCUGGGUGGAGUGGUACAUGCGCGCCCGGCCCGAGGAUGUCAUCUCAGAGGGCCGGGGGAAGACCCACUGAAGCUGGGCAGGACACAGGCGAGCUCAGGUGAUGCCGGCCACCAGCAAUGCCUGGCCUGGUAGCUCCGCUUCUGCUUUCACCAAGAGAGUGUUUCUUCACUCAACUCAGGUGGCAUUUGGGGUGACAUCUCAAAGGCCAGGAAUUCCGUUGACUUGUUGGCUGCCAGGAGGAAAGACGGAGGCGAGCCCUGGAGGAGGGAGGCCACAACUCCGAGCUGCCCACCUGGUGCUGAGCUGGGGCCCCGCCUCCUUUCUGUUUUAUUUUUGAGGAAAUAAAAUAACCAAGUGCU
This 5848-nucleotide small RNA is filed under the name Pan troglodytes (chimpanzee). RNAcentral describes it as "retained intron". The record is from RNAcentral. Lineage: Eukaryota; Metazoa; Chordata; Mammalia; Primates; Hominidae.